This 90-nucleotide transfer RNA is filed under the name Candidatus Aminicenantota bacterium. Its description in RNAcentral is "Candidatus Aminicenantes bacterium tRNA-Ser". It matches the Rfam family "tRNA". From Rfam's summary of the family: Transfer RNA (tRNA) molecules are approximately 80 nucleotides in length. The record is from RNAcentral. Lineage: Bacteria; Candidatus Aminicenantota.
GGAGAGUUGGCAGAGCGGUCGAAUGCGGCGGUCUUGAAAACCGUUGACCUUUCACGAGGUCCCGGGGUUCGAAUCCCUGACUCUCCGCCA